Molecule: ribosomal RNA, 373 nt
Filed under: uncultured organism
Description: bacterial SSU rRNA
Rfam family: Bacterial small subunit ribosomal RNA
Source: RNAcentral
CGUAGGGUGCAAGCGUUAAUCGGAAUUACUGGGCGUAAAGCGUGCGCAGGCGGUUUUGUAAGUCUGUCGUGAAAUCCCCGGGCUCAACCUGGGAAUUGCGAUGGAGACUGCAAGGCUAGAAUCUGGCUAGAGGGGGGUAGAAUUCCACGUGUAGCAGUGAAAGUGCGUAGAGAUGUGGAGGAACACCGAUGGCGAAGGCAGCCCCCUGGGUCAAGAUUGACGCUCAUCGCACGAAAGCGUGGGGAGCAAACAGGAUUAGAUACCCUGGUAGUCCACGCCCUAAACGAUGUCUACUAGUUGUCGGGUUUUAAUUAACUUGGUAACGCAGCUAACGCGUGAAGUAGACCGCCUGGGGAGUACGGUCGCAAGAUUA